RNAcentral lists this ribosomal RNA (253 nucleotides) under uncultured bacterium. RNAcentral describes it as "partial 16S ribosomal RNA". It matches the Rfam family "Bacterial small subunit ribosomal RNA", at positions 524 to 776 of the family's 1533-position model. The record is from RNAcentral.
UACGAAGGGGGCUAGCGUUGCUCGGAAUCACUGGGCGUAAAGGGCGCGUAGGCGGUGUGUCAAGUCAGGCGUGAAAGCCCCGGGCUCAACCUGGGAACCGCGCUUGAGACUGGCACGCUCGAGUUCGGGAGAGGAUGGUGGAAUUCCCAGUGUAGAGGUGAAAUUCGUAGAUAUUGGGAAGAACACCGAUGGCGAAGGCAGCCAUCUGGACCGACACUGACGCUGAGGCGCGAAAGCGUGGGGAGCAAACAGG